Molecule: ribosomal RNA, 498 nt
Filed under: uncultured bacterium
Lineage: Bacteria
Description: partial 16S ribosomal RNA
Rfam family: Bacterial small subunit ribosomal RNA
Source: RNAcentral
GACGAACGCUGGCGGCGUGCCUAAUACAUGCAAGUAGAACGCUGAAGAGAGGAGCUUGCUCUUCUUGGAUGAGUUGCGAACGGGUGAGUAACGCGUAGGUAACCUGCCUUGUAGCGGGGGAUAACUAUUGGAAACGAUAGCUAAUACCGCAUAACAAUGGAUGACACAUGUCAUUUAUUUGAAAGGGGCAAUUGCUCCACUACAAGAUGGACCUGCGUUGUAUUAGCUAGUAGGUGAGGUAAUGGCUCACCUAGGCGACGAUACAUAGCCGACCUGAGAGGGUGAUCGGCCACACUGGGACUGAGACACGGCCCAGACUCCUACGGGAGGCAGCAGUAGGGAAUCUUCGGCAAUGGGGGCAACCCUGACCGAGCAACGCCGCGUGAGUGAAGAAGGUUUUCGGAUCGUAAAGCUCUGUUGUAAGUCAAGAACGGGUGUGAGAGUGGAAAGUUCACACUGUGACGGUAGCUUACCAGAAAGGGACGGCUAACUACGUGC